AGAAAACUGGGUAGUCCAAGCGAUUUGAAAGUAGUAAAAUAAUAAUUUUAGCUGGGAUUGCAAAAUAAGCAUCAGACGGAAAGCAUUAAGCCAGAGAAUAUUUGUACCUUCAUUGAGAAGAAUUAAGACUCACAGCUGAAGCUUAACAGAACAAUAAAAUGGUUAUCUUAAAUCGCAAGAUACUCGGCAAUAUAACAAAAAGCCGUCUUGAGCAGACUUUAGUCGUGCUAAGCCAAACCUGCCAGCUCGUGUAUACCCUGUGAUCUCUGCGCACCGCCACCUGCUCAGGGCUCAUCAUUUUAAUGAGCUUAUUUCAUUAUAUUUAACGCGCUGGCUGCUAUCAUUUUGCAGGUCUCGUCGUUGGGGGCACAGGACUUAUUAUACAAAUUGCAACGCCAUUUUGUAACUUUUAUUAUUUUUCGUUGUGUGUGUGUGUGUGUGUUUUAUAUUUUGUGUGUUUUGUUAUUGUUUGCCUCUCAUCUUAUUUCGCUGUCAUUUACAAUUAA
Molecule: non-coding RNA, 506 nt
Organism: Drosophila virilis
Lineage: Eukaryota; Metazoa; Arthropoda; Insecta; Diptera; Drosophilidae
Source: RefSeq, a predicted model, not a curated record